UACAGAGGGGGCAAGCGUUGUUCGGAAUUACUGGGCGUAAAGGGCGCGUAGGCGGCCUUCUAAGUCGAACGUGAAAUCCCCGGGCUCAACCCGGGAACUGCGUCCGAUACUGGAAGGCUUGAAUCCGGGAGAGGGAUGCGGAAUUCCAGGUGUAGCGGUGAAAUGCGUAGAUAUCUGGAGGAACACCGAUGGCGAAGGCAGCCCCCUGGGCUAAGAUUGACGCUCAUGCACGAAAGCGUGGGGAGCAAACAGG
RNAcentral lists this ribosomal RNA (253 nucleotides) under uncultured prokaryote. Its description in RNAcentral is "partial 16S ribosomal RNA". It matches the Rfam family "Bacterial small subunit ribosomal RNA", at positions 524 to 776 of the family's 1533-position model. The record is from RNAcentral.